This is a long non-coding RNA of Rhododendron vialii, 464 nucleotides long. RefSeq lists it as uncharacterized. The transcript is spliced from 3 exons. NCBI's taxonomy places the organism in Eukaryota, Viridiplantae, Streptophyta, Magnoliopsida, Ericales, Ericaceae. The record is from RefSeq and is a predicted model, not a curated record.
AAAACAAGAAAAUCCAUCAGGUUGUUCCAACGUGUGAGAGAGAGAGAGAGAGAGAGAGAGAGUGAGUGAAAGAGCAGCGUGGAGAAGAGGAAGAAGAAGGAGAAAAGAAGAAGAAAAUUAGAGUUAGGUUGAUUGAAGCUUAAUUAGGUUCGGAGACGACAACGAGUACCGCAGCUCCACGUAGGGAGUGACUGCGUUGGUUUUCUUUUUGUUGGAGACCGAGUUUUGCAGGUAUAGGUCGGUGUCCACUACAGGUCGCGUUUUGCAUUUUGUGACUCGCUCGAGAAGUGCGUAGUUGAGGCCUGUGGGAGUCUUUGUCUCCUGGCCCGUAGAUGAGUUUGCUUAGUUUAGUUUUGGAUAAUAGUUGGUUAUGUAAAGUUUAUUUCUUGACAGACUUCCGCUGUAGUUUGUAAAUGAAAAAUAUUUUUUUUUUGAUGUAAAUAAAAUGUGGCUGUUGAACUGUA